UCCCUCAUAGCUUAAUUGGUAAAUCAUCUGCUUGCAAUGCAAUGCAGGAGACCCAGGUUUGAUUCCUGGGUUGGGAA
This 77-nucleotide transfer RNA is filed under the name Ovis aries (sheep). It matches the Rfam family "tRNA". From Rfam's summary of the family: Transfer RNA (tRNA) molecules are approximately 80 nucleotides in length. Their secondary structure includes four short double-helical elements and three loops (D, anti-codon, and T loops). The record is from Rfam by way of RNAcentral. Lineage: Eukaryota; Metazoa; Chordata; Mammalia; Artiodactyla; Bovidae.